UUUUAUUUUUUUAUUGUUUUUCAAAAAAAAAGCAGAAUGCUUCUUCUUCCCUGCUCCCUCUCCAUUUUUGCUAGGAAUUCAACCUAGCUUGCGCCACCCUGGAGGAUCAUCGGUGCCACGCACGUCCACCCCACCGCCGGUUCACGGAUCAAGACCAGGUUCAGUCGAGCAUGUCUCUGAUGUGGCCUAGUAGAGGGGCGCACGACGCAGAGGGACGUGCAACGUGCGGUGCUUGGGAACCUCCACUGUUGCGGCGGCUGAGGGUGUUAGCUGCUACGGUUUUCAUUUUUUUGUUUUAUUGAUAUUUGGGCUAGGUUUUAUGUGAGCUUGUGUUUUGUUUUGUAUUUGAGUUUUAAUAAGUUUUAGGCCAGGCAAAAAAUUAGGUUCAACAAUAAUAUUUGAAUUGAUAAAUUAGUACGGUAUAUUCUAAUUAUAUUCAAUAAUUUAAAUAAAAA
This is a long non-coding RNA of Gossypium arboreum, 455 nucleotides long. RefSeq lists it as uncharacterized. NCBI's taxonomy places the organism in Eukaryota, Viridiplantae, Streptophyta, Magnoliopsida, Malvales, Malvaceae. The record is from RefSeq and is a predicted model, not a curated record. The transcript has 2 exons.